RNAcentral lists this ribosomal RNA (469 nucleotides) under uncultured bacterium. RNAcentral's name for it is "partial 16S ribosomal RNA". It matches the Rfam family "Bacterial small subunit ribosomal RNA", at positions 28 to 507 of the family's 1533-position model. The record is from RNAcentral.
GACGAACGCUGGCGGCGUGCUUAACACAUGCCAGUCGAACGGAAAGGCCCUGCUUGCAGGGUGCUCGAGUGGCGAACGGGUGAGUAACACGUGGGUGAUCUGCCCCUUACUUUGGGAUAAGCCUGGGAAACUGGGUCUAAUACUGGAUAGGACCAUGCUGUAGGUGGUGUGGUGGAAAGAUUAGUUUCGGUAAGGGAUGAGCUCGCGGCAUAUCAGCUUGUUGGUGGGGUAAUGGCCUACCAAGGCGUCGACGGGUAGCCGGCCUGAGAGGGUGGACGGCCACAUUGGGACUGAGAUACGGCCCAGACUCCUACGGGAGGCAGCAGUGGGGAAUAUUGCACAAUGGGCGCAAGCCUGAUGCAGCGACGCCGCGUGGGGGAUGACGGCCUUCGGGUUGUAAACUCCUUUCAGCCAUGACGAAGCCCUUGUGGUGACGGUAGUGGUAGAAGAAGCACCGGCUAACUACGUG